GACGAACGCUGGCGGCGUGCCUAAUACAUGCAAGUUGAGCGCUGAAGGUUGGUACUUGUACCGACUGGAUGAGCAGCGAACGGGUGAGUAACGCGUGGGGAAUCUGCCUUUGAGCGGGGGACAACAUUUGGAAACGAAUGCUAAUACCGCAUAAAAACUUUAAACACAAGUUUUAAGUUUGAAAGAUGCAAUUGCAUCACUCAAAGAUGAUCCCGCGUUGUAUUAGCUAGUUGGUGAGGUAAAGGCUCACCAAGGCGAUGAUACAUAGCCGACCUGAGAGGGUGAUCGGCCACAUUGGGACUGAGACACGGCCCAAACUCCUACGGGAGGCAGCAGUAGGGAAUCUUCGGCAAUGGACGAAAGUCUGACUGAGCAACGCCGCGUGAGUGAAGAAGGGUUUCGGAUCGUAAAACUCUGUUGGUAGAGAAGAACGUUGGUGAGAGUGGAAAGCUCAUCAAGUGACGGUAACUACCCAGAAAGGGACGGCUAACUACGUG
This 497-nucleotide ribosomal RNA is filed under the name uncultured bacterium. RNAcentral's name for it is "partial 16S ribosomal RNA". It matches the Rfam family "Bacterial small subunit ribosomal RNA", at positions 28 to 507 of the family's 1533-position model. The record is from RNAcentral.